RNAcentral lists this ribosomal RNA (763 nucleotides) under bacterium enrichment culture clone 117. RNAcentral's name for it is "bacterial SSU rRNA". It matches the Rfam family "Bacterial small subunit ribosomal RNA", at positions 8 to 766 of the family's 1533-position model. The record is from RNAcentral.
AGAGUUUGAUCCUGGCUCAGAUUGAACGCUGGCGGCAGGCCUAACACAUGCAAGUCGAGCGGAUGAGUGGAGCUUGCUCCAUGAUUCAGCGGCGGACGGGUGAGUAAUGCCUAGGAAUCUGCCUGGUAGUGGGGGACAACGUUUCGAAAGGAACGCUAAUACCGCAUACGUCCUACGGGAGAAAGCAGGGGACCUUCGGGCCUUGCGCUAUCAGAUGAGCCUAGGUCGGAUUAGCUAGUUGGUGAGGUAAAGGCUCACCAAGGCGACGAUCCGUAACUGGUCUGAGAGGAUGAUCAGUCACACUGGAACUGAGACACGGUCCAGACUCCUACGGGAGGCAGCAGUGGGGAAUAUUGGACAAUGGGCGAAAGCCUGAUCCAGCCAUGCCGCGUGUGUGAAGAAGGUCUUCGGAUUGUAAAGCACUUUAAGUUGGGAGGAAGGGCAGUAAGUUAAUACCUUGCUGUUUUGACGUUACCGGCAGAAUAAGCACCGGCUAACUUCGUGCCAGCAGCCGCGGUAAUACGAAGGGUGCAAGCGUUAAUCGGAAUUACUGGGCGUAAAGCGCGCGUAGGUGGUUCGUUAAGUUGGAUGUGAAAGCCCCGGGCUCAACCUGGGAACUGCAUCCAAAACUGGCGAGCUAGAGUAUGGCAGAGGGUGGUGGAAUUUCCUGUGUAGCGGUGAAAUGCGUAGAUAUAGGAAGGAACACCAGUGGCGAAGGCGACCACCUGGGCUAAUACUGACACUGAGGUGCGAAAGCGUGGGA